This 103-nucleotide microRNA precursor is filed under the name Marmota monax (woodchuck). Lineage: Eukaryota; Metazoa; Chordata; Mammalia; Rodentia; Sciuridae. The record is from RNAcentral.
AGUGGGAUAGCUGGGGCAAAUGGUGGUUCCAUUCCAAGUUUUGCAAGGAAUCUUCAUACUGCUUUCCAGAUUGGCUGCACCAAUUUGCAAUGCCACCAGCAAU